ACGCAUGCUUUCCAAGGAUCCGGGCUCUGCUGUAGUCCUGGGUUCUCCAAGAGCGUGCCAGAGAAACGGAGAGACUUUGACUGUCGAAGCUGAUCUGUGCCUGUGGCAGUCACUCUACUGUCCCACACCU
Molecule: small nucleolar RNA, 130 nt
Organism: Anguilla rostrata (American eel)
Lineage: Eukaryota; Metazoa; Chordata; Actinopteri; Anguilliformes; Anguillidae
Product: small nucleolar RNA SNORA44
Exons: 1
Source: RefSeq, a predicted model, not a curated record